Molecule: long non-coding RNA, 1715 nt
Organism: Cygnus olor (mute swan)
Lineage: Eukaryota; Metazoa; Chordata; Aves; Anseriformes; Anatidae
Exons: 4
Source: RefSeq, a predicted model, not a curated record
AGAUUAGUAAUUCAGAGUGAUUUGUCUAAUGUCUGGUGUUGAACAGGGAUUGACUCUCUGCAGCAACACACAAUGGUUAAUGCUCUUGCUGACCCCAGGGGUAAUUCCCCCCCCCCCCUUUUUUUUUUUUAAACUAGAAGGACUCCAGUGGUUUUCUUUUUCGGCUUCCUCUGUUCUCUAUGCUAAUGCUGCCCUUAACCCUGUAUCUUGAGGUAUAGUAACCAACCUGUCCUUGCUGAGGAGUGGGGAGCAAUCUCCAUCAUCGGGCCAGUGAUGAAAUGACGUCCUAACAUCACGUGGACAAUGAGCUGCAUGAGAAAUGAGAUGUGGUGUUCUUACUAGCGGUAUCGGUUAGUCAUGCCAUAGGAAGGCCGUGGCUUUCUCCUCAGGCUGCAUAACAAGAUUUUUAUCUCCUGGCCCUUAAGAGCUGACACUGGAUGGGUUUGAAGGAGACUGAGAGAGGCUCUUGUUAUUGCAGACAGAAGGAGCUGAGAUGUAAAUGAUGGUUCCUACUUCUCUCAAGUGGAGAUUCAUUGUCAAAGGCACAUCCCCAGUCUUUGUCCCUACCAUUGUCUCAGAGGUUACAAGAUGAGUUUUGACUACCAGAUGAAAGAACAACUCUUGCAGGGAUAAUUCACUAUAUACAAAAGACACUACAAGAGUCGCCUUAUGGAAGUGGACUUAUGGACAAGAGCAAGAGGGGAACCUACAUUUGCACUAAAUAAAAGCAUCAUUCACAGAUCAUCUCAAGUCCUACCAGUGACCUUUUGGAAAUACACGCUGCCUAGACAGCAUGCCAGUGGGUGCUGACCCGCUGACAAAUUCUAGCACUAAAAUAGGUAUGCAAGGAUCCCCACUAUGGUGGAAACUGUUCAGCUGAGCAAGGCUAAUGCAGAAGAACUACAACUUAAGCUCUUGCUAAUUACAGUAAGUGUGGGCUUUGCCCAAAGGAAAGGAUGCACCAAAAUCACAGAAGUGGUUUCUCAGGGCAGGAAUUGUGUCCUUGUAUGAAUUUACCUGUAAAGUACACUCCAGAUGUAUAAUAGAAAUGAGUGAUACAAAAGUAUGCAGCAAUAAAUACUGAUGGCAUCCAGACAUCCUACCUAUCAGCCAGCACAUUGGCUAUCUGCUUCUUAUCUUCCCAUAACCAGUCCCAACCUUCAACCCACCAUCUUACCUUAGUGCAAUGAUUUUUCCAAAGGAGACUUUCUAUAACUUAAGCAUCAAAAUUGUACUUAUGAAAGAAGUUAAGGGCUGUUUCCAAUAGUGGUCAGAAAUCCAACAGGGUUUCCCAACUGAGGAAGUGUUACAGUAACAGAUUUCUGAGUUGCAUGUCUGCGUUUAGUUCAUGAGACUGAUGGUUCAUUAAUAGCACACGUGGAAGAGCAACUUCCAGAUACUCACCACCAUCUAUCUAUACAUGCACACAUUACUGCUACAAUUAUGCUGAAGGCAUAGGGGGCUCGUGUAUUUUGACAUUAUAAAUUAGAACAGAUCACUUCCAUUCCCUCAGCUUUCAUAACUUGGCUAUAACAAAAGAAAUUGCAGUGUAGGGAGCUGGCAAGUUAUGGUUUGUAUUUGUAAGAGAAGGACAUAGCAAGUAACUGUGUGUAGCAUUUUGUUCUUUGUACUGAGAGUGUGUUACACUACAAAACCCUUCCUUAUUUUUCUGUAAGCAAUUAUGUGUAAAAUAAAAUAGCAGCUAUCUUAAUGCU